CAACAAGGACUGCCUGAUCGACAAGAGACAGCGGAACCGGUGUCAGUACUGCCGAUACCAGAAGUGCCUGGCCAUGGGCAUGAAGCGGGAAGCCGUGCAGGAGGAGCGGCAGCGAGGCAAGGACCGGAACGAGAAUGAGGUGGAGUCCACCAGCAGUGCCAACGAGGACAUGCCUGUAGAGAAGAUUCUGGAAGCUGAGCUCGCUGUUGAGCCCAAGACUGAGACAUACGUGGAGGCAAACAUGGGGCUGAACCCCAGCUCAGUGAGUGUCAAGAUGCUCACCUGCCUCAGUUUCCCCUUGUGCUUACCCUCCUGCUUGAACAGCCAGCGAACCCGAGCCCUUUGGCUGCUGUGGCGUUUGUCCCCACCAGUGGGACCUCUGUCCAGCUGGUGACCCUGUGACUGGGGGGAAUAUACCAACCUUCCUGCUGGCCUUGCCUGUCUGCCUCAUCCAGAUACUCAGCAGGGUCCAGCCCAGGACCAACUGCCAUUGUGGGUCUUGGCUUACACGCACAGUGGGGCUUGAGCUCAGUGCAGGGGAAUCCUGCAGAGAAGCUAUGAGCAGCUGAACCCGGGCAGAGCAGCAGUCGCUGGGCUCCAGGCUGGCUCUCACCAGAGUACGGUCACAGGGAGACAGACGUUCUGGACCUCCCUCUCCUACCCACUGCUAUGAGGAGGUGGAGAAGCCAACAGGGAGGUGCUGAAGCAGAAAUGUCUCUUGGCCCUUCA
This 729-nucleotide long non-coding RNA is filed under the name Rattus norvegicus (Norway rat). Its description in RNAcentral is "long non-coding RNA NONRATT017930". Lineage: Eukaryota; Metazoa; Chordata; Mammalia; Rodentia; Muridae. The record is from RNAcentral.